This 305-nucleotide ribosomal RNA is filed under the name uncultured Alphaproteobacteria bacterium. Its description in RNAcentral is "bacterial SSU rRNA". It matches the Rfam family "Bacterial small subunit ribosomal RNA", at positions 1091 to 1397 of the family's 1533-position model. The record is from RNAcentral. Lineage: Bacteria; Pseudomonadati; Pseudomonadota; Alphaproteobacteria.
CACGAGCGCACCCUCGCCUUUAGUUGCCAGCAUGUUUGGGUGGGCACUCUAAAGGAACUGCCGGUGACAAGCCGGAGGAAGGUGGGGAUGACGUCAAGUCCUCAUGGCCCUUAUGUCCUGGGCUACACACGUGCUACAAUGGCGGUGACAGUGGGACGCCAGGCAGCGAUGCCGAGCUGAUCUCCAAAAGCCGUCUCAGUUCGGAUUGCACUCUGCAACUCGGGUGCAUGAAGGUGGAAUCGCUAGUAAUCGUGGAUCAGCAUGCCACGGUGAAUACGUUCCCGGGCCUUGUACACACCGCCCGU